AUGCACUAGAUGGGGAACUAGCGGUGCCUUGUACCUGCAAUCCGCUAUAGCAGGGUUGAAUUCCCGAUCGAGGGUAUUUGGUUUUUUGGUCUGACUUUAACAAGUGGUGUUGAUUUAUGGGUCUUGCGCAACAGGAAACUACGAACCAUGUCAGGGUGGGAACGCAGCAGCAUUAAGUAGAUCUUUCUGUGUGCCGUAAGGUCACCUGUAAUGAGCUAACUAUUAGAGUAACGCUUAGGAUUAAAUAUUCGACAUCGGGUGUGCUU
Molecule: signal recognition particle RNA, 266 nt
Filed under: Tissierellia bacterium
Lineage: Bacteria; Bacillati; Bacillota; Tissierellia
Description: signal recognition particle sRNA large type
Rfam family: Bacterial large signal recognition particle RNA
About the family: The signal recognition particle (SRP) is a universally conserved ribonucleoprotein involved in the co-translational targeting of proteins to membranes. Archaeal SRP consists of a 7S RNA and homologues of the eukaryotic SRP19 and SRP54 proteins.
Source: RNAcentral